RNAcentral lists this ribosomal RNA (621 nucleotides) under uncultured bacterium. RNAcentral describes it as "bacterial SSU rRNA". It matches the Rfam family "Bacterial small subunit ribosomal RNA", at positions 829 to 1450 of the family's 1533-position model. The record is from RNAcentral.
CUCUUGAAGUCUUAGUGGCGCAGCUAACGCACUAAGUAGACCGCCUGGGGAGUACGGCCGCAAGGUUAAAACUCAAAUGAAUUGACGGGGGCCCGCACAAGCGGUGGAGCAUGUGGUUUAAUUCGACGCAACGCGAAGAACCUUACCUGGCCUUGACAUGCAGAGAACUUUCCAGAGAUGGAUUGGUGCCUUCGGGAACUCUGACACAGGUGCUGCAUGGCCGUCGUCAGCUCGUGUCGUGAGAUGUUGGGUUAAGUCCCGUAACGAGCGCAACCCCUAUCCCUAGUUGCCAGCAGUUCGGCUGAGAACUCUAGGGAGACUGCCGGUGACAAACCGGAGGAAGGUGGGGAUGACGUCAGGUCAUCAUGGCCCUUACGGCCAGGGCUACACACGUGCUACAAUGGUGCGUACAGAGGGCUGCAAACCCGCGAGGGGGAGCUAAUCUCACAAAACGCAUCGUAGUCCGGAUCGGAGUCUGCAACUCGACUCCGUGAAGUCGGAAUCGCUAGUAAUCGCGAAUCAGAAUGUCGCGGUGAAUACGUUCCCGGGCCUUGUACACACCGCCCGUCACACCAUGGGAGUGGAUUGCACCAGAAGUGGUUAGUCUAACCUUCGGGAGGA